ACGUCUGCGCAAUAAGGUUGCCGGGCGCACAGUGGCGGCCGCCUGAAGCUACUGAGUCGCGGCGCCGCGCACUUGCGGUUGGGUCAGUGCCGCGCGCCGCUGGUGGCCUUCAGGCUGGUCGGUGCGGGUCCGCCCCGGUUCGCCGGCUCCUAGGUCUUUGAACAGCCGCGAUGUCGAUCUUCACCCCCACCAACCAGAUCCGCCUAACCAAUGUGGCCGUGGUACGAAUGAAGCGCGCCGGGAAGCGCUUCGAAAUCGCCUGCUACAAAAACAAGGUCGUCGGCUGGCGGAGCGGCGUGGAAAAAGACCUUGACGAAGUUCUGCAGACCCACUCAGUGUUUGUAAAUGUUUCUAAAGGUCAGGUUGCCAAGAAGGAAGAUCUCAUCAGUGCGUUUGGAACAGAUGACCAAACUGAAAUCUGUAAGCAGAUUUUGACUAAAGGAGAAGUUCAAGUAUCAGAUAAAGAAAGACACACACAACUGGAGCAGAUGUUUAGGGACAUUGCAACCAUUGUGGCAGACAAAUGUGUGAAUCCUGAAACAAAGAGACCGUACACCGUGAUCCUUAUUGAGAGAGCCAUGAAGGACAUCCACUAUUCAGUGAAAACCAACAAAAGUACAAAACAGCAGGCUUUGGAAGUGAUAAAGCAGCUAAAAGAGAAAAUGAAGAUAGAACGUGCUCACAUGAGGCUUCGCUUCAUCCUGCCAGUGAAUGAAGGCAAGAAGCUGAAAGAAAAGCUCAAGCCACUGAUCAAGGUCAUAGAAAGUGAAGAUUAUGGCCAACAGUUAGAAAUCGUAUGUCUGAUUGACCCGGGCUGCUUCCGAGAAAUUGAUGAGCUAAUAAAAAAGGAAACCAAAGGCAAAGGUUCUUUGGAAGCACUCAAUUUGAAAGAUGUGGAAGAAGGAGAUGAGAAAUUUGAAUGACACCCAUCAAUCUCUUCACCUCUAAAAACACUAAAGGGUUUUUGUUUCCGACAGCACUGUU
Molecule: non-coding RNA, 984 nt
Organism: Macaca mulatta (Rhesus monkey)
Lineage: Eukaryota; Metazoa; Chordata; Mammalia; Primates; Cercopithecidae
Source: RefSeq, a predicted model, not a curated record